UUGCUUCAAGCUUUGAGGAAGAAUAUAUCCUUUUUCUGCUGUGGAUCUGUCUGUUGAAUUGAGAUCACAUCAUUGUUGACCUUGCUACAAACUGUAUGAUUCAGAAAUGCUCCAGCUUACCUGUAGGACCCAAUAGCACCUCAAGGUUCCAGGAAUUAUCUGCAAUCAAUCAUGGUGGGUUGGAUUUUAUGGGUGACCUGGUGACUUCACAUAGAAAUAUGAACAGAAAUCGAAGAUGCUGUCAUGCUAAAGGGCUGCCUCAAACUUCAAAGAUUGUGAUGUAGCUGGUAGGUCAUAGGUGAAUUUAUGAACCUUCAUGCAGGUAUACAAUUACACAGUUUGUAAAACUAAUAAGUUGAGUUCAACAAGUGAAUAUUCCUA
Macadamia integrifolia is the source of this 381-nucleotide long non-coding RNA. RefSeq lists it as uncharacterized. The transcript is spliced from 2 exons. The record is from RefSeq and is a predicted model, not a curated record. Lineage: Eukaryota; Viridiplantae; Streptophyta; Magnoliopsida; Proteales; Proteaceae.